Neocloeon triangulifer is the source of this 487-nucleotide long non-coding RNA. RefSeq lists it as uncharacterized. Lineage: Eukaryota; Metazoa; Arthropoda; Insecta; Ephemeroptera; Baetidae. The transcript has 3 exons. The record is from RefSeq and is a predicted model, not a curated record.
UAUCAACCGACAUAUGUACUUCAGUUGACUUUGAUUCUCGCAGUCAAAGAGACGCAAUUCGUUUAUCAAACUGAAAUAGUCUAUACCUUCUGUUCACUUCCGCUAUGAAAAUUUGCAUAAUUCUCAUUUUGAUGCCAAUCAUAAUCGUUGGUACCAUGGCACUGAGCGAUUUUUGGCCUAAAGAGCUUCAAUCUUGGGUGCCUAUAACUCCAAAUAUCGAUACGCUAUUGGCUGCAGAUUUACGCGCUGGCAAUAAACGUGGACGAGGAAGGAAAGGGAUGAAUAAAGACAGCACGAAGGCCACGAAGACAAAACAGAUAACAGAUGAUGAUUUCAAUUCAAUUUUGAAAAAAUUUAUAAAAAAAUUGAUGCAAUGCAGAAAUCAAUGAAUGAGAGGCGCGAAUACGCGCGAAGAGGAAAAUUUAUGAUCGAUGUCUAGUUUCUGGGUCCACAAAUAUUGAAUAAUAAAUUAUCUAAAUAAUUGAAU